This is a long non-coding RNA of Alligator mississippiensis (American alligator), 1217 nucleotides long. RefSeq lists it as uncharacterized. Lineage: Eukaryota; Metazoa; Chordata; Crocodylia; Alligatoridae. The transcript has 3 exons. The record is from RefSeq and is a predicted model, not a curated record.
GGGUACGUUUUCAAAUAGACGAUUGAGAAGGAAAAGAAGUGGGACAUCUUUGUUGCGAGGCACUUGGAAUUCUUUGUUCCUCUCAUCCUCAAGGAAAAGUUCCAAUCAGCUCUGCUCAUCAGUGGGGAAUCCCAGAAAAAAAGAAAGCCCAGGAUGACUGCAAAUCACCAGUAGGAUGCUGUCCUGAAAAACAAUGCAUGAGCUGAGGUAUUUCCAGGAGAGAUAAUGAAGUAUUAAUGCCAUUGUAAAAACACUGGUGAGUGCUCUUCUGGAAUACCGUGUACAGCUCUGAUCACCCGUGUUCAAGGAAGGUGAAUUCAAACUGGAACAGGUGCAGAGAAGGGGAAUGGAGAACAUAUUUUAUGAGAUAAGCCUUUGUAAAGAACACAUGAUUUGAUGUGUGCAACUGUAGCUAAACAUGGUAAAUCUUCACCUUCAUCUUCAUGAAGGAGUCAGCCAGCAAACUUUCUCUAAGGAGGGAUUCCACUUGCACCAAACUGCGAACUACAGAAGACAUCUAAAGACAGCGGCAUAUUACGAUCCCAAAGAUGCUUUGGGGCUCUUACAUUGAAUGGCAAUGAGCAGAGACAGUUACCACCUGCUAAAUCAGCCUUUUUCUAUGAAGACCAGCAAUAAAGGAUUCUGGCAGCCUCUCUGCUUCGAACAGUUUAUGUGAUCUCUGAUCAUUACUUUGGGAGCGCAGACCCGCAGCUCGAGUGAGACUUGUUGGAAGGGUACGUGGGGAAGUCUGGAUUGCGCACCUUGUCUAAUACGUUCUACUUUCUGGCAAUGCUGAGCGCGCGUCAUAGCUGUUCAUGAAGAGCAAAUAGAAUUUCUUCCACCAGUCUUGUUGUGUUAUGCUGCUUGUUCAUUGCCGUCGGUGCUGUUUCAUGUUGGCAAUUUCCCUCUUCAGUUUUAAAAGCCUUCUUUUGUGUGGGAAGAUAUCAACCAGGAAUUCAUAAUCCACUCUGUCAGCUGUCAUCUGAGGAAUGACUGACAUAUUUCUUUCUGAAAACCACAGCAAAGCUGUCUGUCAAUGCUGGAGUGCUACUUCGAGUGCUCUUGACCCAGGCAAGUUGCCUCUUCAAACAGGGCUUCCUUCAUUUUAUUUAGUUUUUUUCAUAUGAAAUAAAAACAUAAGAGCUACAGGGAUAUAACAGCAUUCCAGAUGUCACUGUUGCCAUGUCAAAAUGAACAAAGCAGGGAAAGUUACUGAG